UGGCAAUUGUGUUUCAUACAGAGAACAAUUGUGUGUGAUGUUACAGGGUAAGCACUGAGAUUCCUUACCAAUUCACUUAUGUUUCAACUAAACAUGAAGGGAUCACGAGGGGAUAAAACAUCAUUUGACAGCGCUGUGCAAAUUAAUAACUGACAGUGUAGUAAAGGUGCAUGAUGUUACAGAAGCCUUUGCCCUCAGCACCAUUGCCAAUCGGUUACGAAAUGCACCUAAGAGGAAAGAAAGGCUGGAUGCAGUGUCAUUUAUUAAGUGUUAAGUAAAUGUUUUUGUAAUUUUGUUUCUUUUGCUGUUUGAGACAGUUUUCUAUCUUCUCUUAGAUGUUUUGUUGGUUUAAUUAGUCUUUUAGUAUUCACAUUUUUAUGGUAUUUUAGUAUUAUGCACUACACCCAGUUUUUAUGUGCAUUUUGUAUUGUUUGUUUUGAAAUAUGAAUAAAUUAUUGGUUAUUACAACUUUUAUGUGAUUUGUGUCUGCU
Clarias gariepinus (North African catfish) is the source of this 491-nucleotide long non-coding RNA. RefSeq lists it as uncharacterized. The transcript is spliced from 3 exons. The record is from RefSeq and is a predicted model, not a curated record. NCBI's taxonomy places the organism in Eukaryota, Metazoa, Chordata, Actinopteri, Siluriformes, Clariidae.